GCCGAUGUAGUGUAGCGGUUAGCACGUCAGAUUGUGGCUCUGGCAGCCCGAGUUCGAUUCUCGGCAUCGGCCCCA
This 75-nucleotide transfer RNA is filed under the name Nanobdellati archaeon. Its description in RNAcentral is "tRNA-His". It matches the Rfam family "tRNA". From Rfam's summary of the family: Transfer RNA (tRNA) molecules are approximately 80 nucleotides in length. Their secondary structure includes four short double-helical elements and three loops (D, anti-codon, and T loops). Lineage: Archaea; Nanobdellati. The record is from RNAcentral.